AGAGUUUGAUCAUGGCUCAGAACGAACGCUGGCGGCAGGCCUAACACAUGCAAGUCGAGCGCCCCGCAAGGGGAGCGGCGCACGGGUGAGUAACGCGUGGGAACGUGCCCAGAGGUCGGGGAUAACGGCGGGAAACUGCCGCUAAUACCCGGUAAGCCUUGAGAGGGAAAGGAGCAAUCCGCCUUUGGAGCGGCCCGCGUUGGAUUAGCUAGUUGGUGGGGUAAAGGCCCACCAAGGCGACGAUCCAUAGCUGGUCUGAGAGGAUGAUCAGCCACACUGGGACUGAGACACGGCCCAGACUCCUACGGGAGGCAGCAGUGGGGAAUAUUGGACAAUGGGCGAAAGCCUGACCCAGCAACGCCGCGUGAAGGAUGAAGGCCUUCGGGUCGUAAACUUCUGUCGAGAGGGAAGAAUGCGUACGGGUGAAUAAUCCGUGCGUUUGACGGUACCUCCAAAGGAAGCACCGGCUAACUCCGUGCCAGCAGCCGCGGUAAUACGGAGGGUGCAAGCGUUGUUCGGAUUCAUUGGGCGUAAAGCGAGUGUAGGCGGUUUGACAAGUCGGAUGUGAAAUCCCGGGGCCCAACCCCGGAACUGCAUCCGAUACUGUCUGGCUAGAGUCCCGGAGAGGGUGGCGGAAUUCCCGGUGUAGGGGUGAAAUCCGUAGAUAUCGGGAGGAACACCAGUGGCGAAGGCGGCCACCUGGACGGUGACUGACGCUGAGACUCGAAAGCGUGGGUAGCAAACAGGAUUAGAUACCCUGGUAGUCCACGCUGUAAACGGUGAGUGCUCGUCGUCGUGGGUAUUGACCCCUGCGGUGACCAAGUUAACACAUGAAGCACUCCGCCUGGGAAGUACGGUCGCAAGACUAAAACUCAAAGAAAUUGACGGGGGCCCGCACAAGCGGUGGAGCAUGUUGUUUAAUUCGAAGCAACGCGCAGAACCUUACCUGGAUUUGACAUCUCUGGAAUCUUCCUGAAAGGGAAGAGUGCCUUCGGGAGCCAGAAGACAGGUGCUGCAUGGCUGUCGUCAGCUCGUGUCGUGAGGUGUUGGGUUAAGUCCCGCAACGAGCGCAACCCCUAUCGUUAGUUGCUAGCAGUUCGGCUGAGCACUCUAGCGAGACUGCCGGUGUUAAACCGGAGGAAGGUGGGGAUGACGUCAAGUCCUCAUGGCCUUUAUAUCCAGGGCUACUAACGUGCUACAAUGGUCGGUACAGAGGGCUGCAAACCCGCGAGGGCAAGCCAAUCCCACAAAGCCGGCCUCAGUUCGGAUUGAAGUCUGCAAUUCGACUUCAUGAAGGCGGAAUCGCUAGUAAUCGCGGAUCAGCAUGCCGCGGUGAAUACGUUCCCGGGCCUUGUACACACCGCCCGU
Molecule: ribosomal RNA, 1368 nt
Filed under: uncultured bacterium
Lineage: Bacteria
Description: partial 16S ribosomal RNA
Rfam family: Bacterial small subunit ribosomal RNA
Source: RNAcentral